ACCAAUUUACAUUUACAUUUCAAGAACGAGUAUUAUUGUAGUGGAUUUGUGGCAUUUCCUAGACAAUAUCUUCUCUACAACUCGGUUCGAGAUCGACUGCGACCCGCAGACUCAAGCGCUGGCAGGUUGUCUUACGCCUGCCAGACUGUCUGCGGUCUUACAAAAAGCUCUCU
RNAcentral lists this small nucleolar RNA (173 nucleotides) under Lachancea thermotolerans CBS 6340. The record is from RNAcentral. Lineage: Eukaryota; Fungi; Ascomycota; Saccharomycetes; Saccharomycetales; Saccharomycetaceae.